RNAcentral lists this ribosomal RNA (253 nucleotides) under uncultured bacterium. RNAcentral describes it as "partial 16S ribosomal RNA". It matches the Rfam family "Bacterial small subunit ribosomal RNA", at positions 524 to 776 of the family's 1533-position model. The record is from RNAcentral.
UACGUAGGUGGCAAGCGUUAUCCGGAAUUAUUGGGCGUAAAGCGCGCGCAGGCGGUUUCUUAAGUCUGAUGUGAAAGCCCACGGCUCAACCGUGGAGGGUCAUUGGAAACUGGGGAACUUGAGUGCAGAAGAGAAAAGCGGAAUUCCACGUGUAGCGGUGAAAUGCGUAGAUAUCAGGAGGAAUACCUAUGGCGAAAGCAGGUAUCUGGGCCAUCACUGACGCCGAGCUGCGAAAGCUAGGGGAGCAAACAGG